UUUCCUUCUGUUGAAUGGUGAAGCCACAGUCCCGACCCUGUUGAAGCUGGUCCAUCUCGUCCUUGAGGGAUGGCUGACAACAUGGCCGCUCCUGUAGAGGGUUACCGAGCCCUGUAGGGGUCAUGGGGGUCGGAUCGGUGAUACUGCCGAUCGUCUUGUUAAUAGUGGGAGAAGACAGCAGACAGUGACGCUAGUUAACCUUCCCCAUCCCUUUUUUACUGUGAGGCAGUACACCACAGUGAAAGAGGUAAGGUUGCAUAGUGAAAGAGGUAAGGCUACAGUGACCAGGGUGGUUGGAAC
Molecule: long non-coding RNA, 300 nt
Filed under: Sorghum bicolor (sorghum)
Lineage: Eukaryota; Viridiplantae; Streptophyta; Magnoliopsida; Poales; Poaceae
Description: long non-coding RNA (SBIC_LNC018223)
Source: RNAcentral